This 511-nucleotide long non-coding RNA is filed under the name Sinocyclocheilus grahami. Its description in RNAcentral is "lncRNA (ENSSGRG00000030778.1)". The record is from RNAcentral. Lineage: Eukaryota; Metazoa; Chordata; Actinopteri; Cypriniformes; Cyprinidae.
UGUCAAUUAGCCUUAAUUAAAAUCUUAUUAAUUAACCUUUCUUACAGCAUGUAGCAUCGAGCCCGUUUGCUGAGAGCUCCAAACAACAACCAAUCGAGUGAUGAGCCAAAGGAACCCGUGAAAUCUGCGCGCUCGGGGGAGGAUGACACCAAUAUUCACAUCCACGCAAAGUUUCCCAGCGUUUCAUCUCGACACUUUCUGCCCAUCUGCACGCCUGAAGUCCCGUCCAGAGAAUCAGACAGCUGCUGGAAGAGGGAGUUUCAGCAUCCUCCUCCUCCGUCAUUAGUCGAGUUCAGACUCUCACCGCACUGUCGGCAUCAGCGCUGGAGAAAACAGCUUUACUGGCUAGGCACAAGGAUUGUUCAGUUACGCAACUCGAGAGACACAAGAUUAAGGAUACAUGUGAAGAUGAGAGGUCAACCAACUGGCUGUCUGCAAAUAAAUGGAAGGACCUAAACAAUGAGUCAACUUUCAUCUGCUGUUUAACGGUUUUGUGAACGCCUAGCUUCUC